Molecule: long non-coding RNA, 10737 nt
Organism: Cavia porcellus (domestic guinea pig)
Lineage: Eukaryota; Metazoa; Chordata; Mammalia; Rodentia; Caviidae
Exons: 4
Source: RefSeq, a predicted model, not a curated record
CCUUUCUCCGACAGAAUGUCAAAAGCAGAGAGGAAGUAUGUGCUCACUGACCUGAAAACUCUUUUUCAGCUUGGUUUGAUUUGGAGAAUGAGAACUCUGUAACCCCAUGUUUCAUUAACAAGAGUUACUUUUGAAAAGCAAACUGAUGAAGGCCUAACUGGUUCCACCAGUGAUCACGGGAACAAAAUGCGGUUAACUGCUUAAUUUCUAGCAUGUUGUUCAACAAGAACUCAUAGAUUAUUCUUUUCCUCAAAGCAUGUUUUGGUUACAAACUAGCAGCAGUCAAUAGUCCACUCUCUGUUUUUGAUGUUAAAUAGGGAAAGGCAAAUUCCAUUUUACUGGUACUUUAUCUCUGGUCUUUGCCCAAGAACAAAAUUGGAAUGGGCUCUAAAGUUGGAAAGAAUCUUUAUUUGGGGGUUGGAUUAUUUAUUUGAAGCCAAGUAAGUGGUGUUUUACAAAGUGACAUGAAAUACUUACAAACAUUGGCCUCCAUGGGGUCACCCACUGGGCUGUAAAUGUCACGGUGUUGAAAACGUCAUCUUUGCUCUUCAUUCCCAUGUCCUUAGUACUUAGCAUGGUACCUGGCAUAAAAUUUACUCAUGCGUACAACAAAAACGUAGAAAAUAAAUCAAGCGGCAGUGCACCCAUGCAUGGGUAGCUGGUUCAGGCAGAUGGCUGAAGGCGAGGGUCAGCAAGUGUUCUCUCUCUGUAAAGGGACAGAUAAUAAAUAUUUUCAGCUCCCUGGCCACAUGGUCUCUGUCACAGGUGCUGUUGUAGAAAGGCUGUGUGGCAAACAGUGUGUAUACGAUAAGCAUGACUCUGCCCCACUGUAGCUUUAUUUGCAAAAACGGGUGCUGGGCUGUUAUUUGGCCUGACCACUGCUGUUAGCUUAGAGUACAAAACCCUUGGACUUCGGGAGCAAUCAUCCUGUUCUUAGCUUUGUUCUUUUUCGUGGCCAUCAAAGAUGCUUCAUUUUUAUGCACAAGUUUAAAUAUUUAUGGAGUAAAUCACUGUCUGAGGAGCUUGGAGAAUAUCUAUAAAAUGUGCUUUCUAUGCACAGGGGAUUUUCUCUAUAACAAUCCUUCUUCCAAACUCCUCAGUCAGACAAGCUACCAUUCUCCCCAGACUCAAGGCAGGGAGAGGCAGAAGGCAGAAAUGUUACACUAACCGAUGAAUCUCCACGGACAGGACACUAGCGGGUGCAGGCAGCUACUUCCUAAAAACACUUUUUAAAAAUUUAAGUAAAGAUUUAAUUGAAGAAUAAAAUGCAUACAGAGGUACUGUCCAAUAAUAUGUAUGAUUUGGGAGAUUGCAUCUUGAAGCAGAACCUAAGUGAAGAAACACAAUGCGUUCCCAUCCCAGAAAACGCACAUUUCCCAGACAUUACAAUCCCGCCCCCCAGAAUUAACCAUGAUUAUGUCUUUAACUACCUGACCUACUUAUACCCAUCUCCUAGGAUGUGAGCAGAGCAUACAGGCAUUGCAGAAGUAACUUUGGCACCUACGUAUUUCAACUUAGAGUGACCUCCAGACCCAAGGACCCCCUGCAGGCACCUUAUCACACACCACAGCAGUCAGCACCUUCUUAUUCUGAUGGCCCAUGGGCCAGAAGAGGAGGAGACGCCACUUCUCUUUUGGGUUGAGCUGGGAAUCACAAGGGUGGAAUUCGGAAGCUCCUGGUGCCACCAGUCAGUACUGAGAUCUGGUGACAACUAAGGCCUCUGAAUCGAUAUGUGCUAGAAACUUCCUCUAGGUCUGUGGCCAAGAAGUGGUUCCCAUUUCCCUGCUCUGUGUACCACAGAUCCAGAGUAAAGCUCCUCUGACAGAGGACCAGGUGGACGUUUAAUUCUAUGGUAGUAUCAUCUUUAAAAUUUGAAAAUAUGAUUUUUAGGAGUUACAAGAAGUUGAUAGAAAAAGGUGAUGGGUGGAACAAGAGCUGAGAAACAGAGGAAAGAAGGGAAAAAGAAAAGAAGUAGGAAAGAAGGAAGGAAAGUUACAACUUCUACUCAGAGAGGCAGAGAGAAAAUCAGAAAAGAGAACAAUACAGAUCCUCAGGGAGAAAAUCAAAGGCUUCUUCAAUUGUGUCAAAUGCUGCAAAUAUGGCCAGGGAUUUGGCCCAGUGGCAUAAGCACCUGCCUGGCAAGCACGAAGUCCUGGGUUUGAAUCCCUGGUAACCCCCCCUCCCCCCAUGCUGCAAAGAACUAAAAUAUAUUGAUUCAUCCAUAGAUAUUUACAGGGCACUUCUGCAUGAUGCAACUUUACCGUAGCUGUAGAUACAUCAAGUGAAUAAAGGAAACAAGGUUUUGCCCUUAGGAACAUCGCAUUUCAGGUCAGAAAAGCCUUAGACCUGCCCAUGUGGGACCAGCCUGUGAAGAGCUGUUUUAUUAAGCAUGGAAGACACUGAGACGCUGCUGCUGGGUUGCCCUGCACAUCACAGGUCCCCCUACCAUCAGGCUGUUGUGGGUCUGGCAUCGUGUGACUUCUUGGCUCUUCCCUAACUCAACGUGGCCGUGAAAGCUGAACACUGGCGAGGGAUUCAGGACACGGAGGCAGCUAGGACGCCACAGCUAAAGACACUCCUGCAGGAGGACUUGCAGAGCUGCUCACAGUGGCAAGAAUGGGGGCUAAGGCACUAUCAAGCAGCAUGUGAAUUCAUCUUCCUGAUUUCUACACUAAAUGUUUCAGGAAGUGUGCUCAGCACCCACCAGCACAGGUUUGAAGUUACUUCACGUGAUCCUCUCCUGAUGCCCUGUUCACUUAGGAACAAGACAGGUAAGGAGAGCUGAGCUCAUUGCAAAUUAAAGGUAGAAAGGUAAAAACUACGAUCUCAAGUGGAAUCCUCAACUAUAAAUAGAUCAAUCUGUAAGACUGUUGUAAGUUGCAAAAGCAGCUUUUAUGCAGUUAUUCGCAUGAGGCAGAUUCACACAAGAUAUAAAUUAAAAUCCACUUUUUACCAAGGGGUGGUUUAACUGCUUUCAUGGGUAUCUAUAAAUUUAUAAAUUCGUGGUCAAGGGUGGAGUGUCUGUCCCUGAGAGAAUGUGUUUAUAUGUGCGUGCGCGUGUGGUUUUCCUCUCUUCUGGUCCCUAACCAUCCUGACCAUGCAUCUCAUAAAGCGCCCAAGCUUGAUCUCUUCCUCCCUUUCACUGUUGUUUGCAAAUCUCUAAGCACUGAUUCUGCAGGAUAGGGUGCAACUGAGUUUAUAGGCCUGCGUUUACGUGAGUUAACACAGAGAGUCCAUGAAUUACGUUAAAUAGGUGAGGUCUUUAGGAUGAUUGGGGGCUUGGAGCAGGUAAAUUAGGUGAACUAUUUAAACUAUUUCAGUGUUUCCCUUCCUUUUUAUGGCUAUUUAAAAACAGGAUUUGCUCCCCAAAGGCAAAAAUGAAUCUGCUUAAAUUUAUAGCUGUGAUGGCUUAGGAGCAUCGUUGCUUUUGAAAGGGAGAAAGAACAUAUGCAUACUGUGGGCUCAGUGUGCUCCAGGCACAGAUGAUCCGCAUGUGCUGUCCCCUGCGCUCCCGUGACGCCCUCUGGGUAGUAGUACUGCAUACUCUGCUCAGGUGAGUCAAAUGAAGGUGAGAGAAAAGGCCACUUGCCAGAGCGAAAGCAGGCUGGUCUUUGACUUUCAGUGAUUACAGGCAAUGUCAAGGUCUCCGUUUCCAACAUCCAGACCCUUUACUGCAACCGGGAAUUCCAUGACUGUUUGGAAUGGCUCUACCUUACAGUGAUGUUUUUACUUAAUACCCCAGGGCACGUUUAUAAAAAUGAUUUUAAGGUCUGCAUUCACUUAUUCAAAACACAUUUAUUAUGGUGUAUCUGUUUAUUGUACCCAUGAGAUGCCAUCUUCAAGAUCCUAGAUUUGAGGUAUCCAGGAAAAUGACUACACUGCUACUGUAUGUUGCUUGAAUUUGGGUGAACACAUCAGGUGUGUGAGGAAUCCCUCUGUUCCAGUGAGACAGGUGGCGCUCACUCAGGGGAGAAGGCUAACUCAGCAGUGGAUAGAGGCAUCUGAGCUGUCCUGGUGCAUUUGUGUUGGAGGGUGACGUGGAGGAAUUCUGACCCAGCCCUGCUACAUAUUUGCACACCUUCGAUUUUUAUUCUUUCCCACACAAUCCAUUUUCUGCUGUACAAACUGUAAGUUACUUUUCUCAAGGAAACAACAACGGUGUCGGGAUCAGUGAGCCAACUUUGUGAUUAGAAAUCCUAAUCUCUGUUUCUCUGGCUUUGAUUUCCUCCCUCACUUCAGGCUCCCGGUGUAAUCUGUUUGCCUUGGUUAAUUAUGUGCAGGGUGCAGGUUACCUAAGGAUGACUGCAGCACAUAACUCAUUGCUGGUUGCUGCAUCUUUGAAAAUGUGGCAUUCAGCAUGCACAGUAAGCACAAAUUGUUAUCGUUAUUAACAUUGUCAUUGUCUCUAGUGUUGCAGGAGGCCUGCAAGAGGCCCUCAUGCUUGUUUUCCAGCUUCAGUUUCUCUUCUCACCAGCUGAGAGUGUCUGAGCCUCACUGCAGGCAGAGGAAAUGCAGCAAGUUCUUUCUGUCUGUGGAAGAAUCCAAGUCAUCCCCUGUUCCUGCUCCUUGGCUCUUUCUACUCUUCUGAUACAACUUUCCACCUGAUCCUUACCCAAAUACACACACAUACAUACAUACAUAUGCAUAUAUAAACAUAUGUAAGCAUAUAUAAAAGCAUGUAUAUAUAAAAGCAUAUUUUAUAUAUAUGUAUAUAUGUAUACACACAUCUAUCUAUCUAUCUAUCUAUCUAUCUAUCUAUCUAUCUAUCUCUAUGCAUGUAGGGUUCUUCUAACCAGCGGGCUGUCUCUGGGGCUCGGGCAGCUCUAACCUCUCAGCCCCCAGCAGUGGACACUGGGAAACAGAGGCCAAGGACCCAGAGUCGCAGAUCUGACCUCGGUGUGAAUGAGCCCUUCUCUAACGAAGCCGUGCGAUGUGCCCAUAUGAAUGAGGCCUCUCUUUGAGGAGAGAAAACUUCAGGAAGCUGCAUAAACAUCAUUUUUGAAUAUAGUUAUGUGGUAACUGGUUGCUAAAUAAUUAUUUGACUUAUUUAAAUCUACUGUUUCAAAAAGACUGCUCAUUAUGACUGCAAAAAUGACUGUAUCAUUUCCAGUGAUGCCCUUCUCUGUUCCUAAAGAAGUUUGAUUUUCAUUUUGGUUUAUCUCAACAACUGUUACAUAUUCUUAGUGAAUCACUAAAAUUUUCCUCCAUUUAGAUAACUUCUCUAACUUAGUCCCCCCCCCCAAUACUCCAUCCUUGUCUGUUAUUUCUUUGAUAAUUGUUUACAUCUAUUGCUUUCUUUUACCGCCUUUUCAAACACCUACACAGUCUUUACAGAAUUUAAUUACACAUCCCUCUGGGUGAGAAGAGAGAGGUAUUCAUCUUGGUAACCUCUUAAGUGCUCAGGUCAGACCAGUGGAAUUGGGACUGAAGGCAUAUUAAUUUUUCCCUUUUUUAGGAAUUUAUUUGGGAGCAUCGUGGCAUCCCCCUUGAGCAGUAUGGAAAGACUGCUGCAACCCUGCCUUCCACCGCUGGGAACAUGGCUGGAUCACUCCCCAUCUCUUCCUGUGAUUCAGGAGGGCCAGGGUGGUACCACAGACAGCACGUGUGCUGCUGCUGCAGUGGCCUGUGAGAAUCUCCUCCACAAAGGCCCUGCUUACCUGUUAGCAAGUUGAGUAAAAGCCAGAUCCAAACACCUAAGUCUGCAGAGAAAGCCAAGGCCUUCCGUGUCCAUGCAAUCUGCAGGGGAAAAGAGACCCAGGAGGAAGUGGCCAGAAGACCCAUCAUGGCCAUUGCAUGAGCAACAAACAAUCUUCUGUAAUUUGAGAAGUUUUUGCUACCAAAGCCUAAAUUGACCUAUGACAAUCACCUCAAUAUUAAUAUAUUCAAAAGUGGAACUCAUUUCUUUCCUCUUUCUUCUCCAAAAUCCAGCACAGUUGCAAGCCUCAUCUAGACAUCUUCAAACUAUAUUUCAAAACCCCAUCUGUCUGCCAGUUUCUCCCAUUUUUCUGCAUUGUCUCUAUGCACACACACAGAUGCCAUCGUUUCUCACCAAGGCCCUUGGGCUGUGCUUGCUGGUCCCGCCCCUGCCCUUUCUGCCCUCACCCCAGCCCACGAUGCUGGCAUCAGGAGGACCCGCAGGCUCACACGUGCCAAGCCAGCACGCUGCCUGCGAGCCAGCCCCAGCCUGCUCUUCUCAUUCCUGCUAACCACACUGUAACCAGGGGCGUCUUUUUAAAGCACAUCUUAAGACUUAUCAGCGAGUUAAAAAUCCUUCCGUAGCUCCUCACUGUAUGAAGAACAAGGACUAAAAACUCCUGACAUUCCUUCCAGGACCUACGCCUCACCUUAGGUCUCUUUUCCAAACACCUGCAAAGAUUAGUCACCUGGAAUUCUUUCACUGUCUCUGACAAACUAAAUUCUUUCCUCCAGCAGGAUCUUCCCCAGCACAGACUGGCUGGCCUUGAAGCUUUUCCCCUUAUUCUCCACAUGACCAGCUGUCUUGUUCCCUUUACGUUACCAUUUGAUUAUUCUUUUCCCUGAUCCACGUACCCAAGAACACAGCUACCCUCUGGUAUCCUUCACUGCAGUGUCUUGCUCUUCUCCAUGUAGAUAACUUCUAGAAUUUCGUAUUAAUUCCUACAGAAGACAUGAACUUCAGGUCACAUAGUCAGAAAUGCAAAAUUCUGGCUCUGCUUUACUUAAAUAGAUGCAAUUUCCUUUUCUGCCUUGUAUCAAGUGUUUAUUCUAUAGGUAAAUUGACUAAGAUAUAGGUUCCAGAUGCCGUAACAAAAAUUUGAAAUAAAAUACUGAGUAAAGUAUUUAUAUUAGACUUGAUGAGAUUUGUAUAUUAAAAGUUUGCGCUUUUUUUAUCACUGUGAGGGGAAGUAGCCAUGAUUGGUGACGGAGUUUGAAGUUCACCAGAGUUUUGUCACUCUGUCCUCCUUCACACAGGCUUUUGUGUUUGAGUUCAAGACACAAGGUUAACUAGACGGGGUGCUAGAUGCUCACCGUGCAUGGCUGAGGUAAAAGCUACAUAGGAGGAACCAGCCACGAGAGACCCGUAUUCGAUUUGAGUGUCUGUAACAUUCAUGCUCAGUGUUGUUGUCUCAGUGUAUAUAAUGGAAUAGCCACCAAAUAUCCAUUAUACUUUCUUGGGUUUCCUUUUUAAGUUUCUUCCAUUUUUCUUGCAUUUCAUUUUCUUUUUUAAAAGAAAAAAACACUAAAAUGUUUUUAGAGGAAGGAUUCCAUUUUUUGCCAAUAGAAAGAAAAUUCUAGAACUUCUCAGUACAUUUACACUAAUAAUGAAAUACAGAAUAAUAUCUGAAUAGACUGUCUAAUUUAUUAAUCUAUAAAUGCCAAAAUGAUAAGCAAAAGUUCCUAAACAUGCAAAGCCUAAGUAUGAGGAUUAUUGGCUUAUUAACAACCCUAAAAACUAUCUGACCUCAGAGCUAUUUGUUACCUUUUAGUAAAAAAGACUAAAUUCAGAGUUUCCUUACCUCUACAGGAAAAAGUAAUAAAUGUUUCAGACCACACAUGAAGAAUAGCUUUUGCUGUGGUUUUUCAAGGUAUAUUCCUGCAUUUAAUGAUAAAAACAGAAAGCAAUUUGAGAAUAUUUUCCAUGUGUGUCCACAAUGGAAGCCACAACAUCCUCUUUAUGGAAGAACCGGAGGUCUCUGAGGCUGAAGGCUGGUUAGUCACACGCAUCGUGGAGGGGCUCGCAUUAUGCAUGUGCACACACUCACACUCACACUCACACUCAGGGGCACUCCUCUUUCAUGCAUGAGGUUUGCUACACUCAAAGUGGUCCCACACUCGCAACUGCUUUCUGCUCCACUUCUGCUUGCCAAUUGGAUCAGCAUGCCCAUCUCUCCAUCCCCAAAUUAAAAAAUAAUAAUAAUAACCAAGCAGUACAGGUGCACAAAUCAUGUGGCUCCUCUGGCACUGGCUAAAACACAAGAGAAAACUGUGAAUCCAUUAUUACACCAGCAUUUUUCUAGCACUACAAAUAUAGCUCACAAAGUGGGAAAUAUCUAGGAAGCAGAUAUUUUACAAUGUUCCAUCUUUGAUAAGGUAAAGUAGAACAGUAUGUAUGUAUCAGAAAUGAGAUUUUUGUCUGUGGCCAUUCAACACCAAGACAGAAUGCUCUGUUCUGUUUUUGUUCCAAGUUUCUUACGUGUUUUGACCUUGCAGGCACCACCAAGGGAGUGAAAAGAACAACACCUUCCCAGGAGGAUUCAUUGCUCUAAGAAUUUUAACCCAAGAUCCAAAGGGUAAAAGCAGAAGCCAGCCUAAGAAGGGAGAGAUGGCAGAAGGCUCUGCAAACUUCGCUGAGAACUGUCCUGAUUUCAGGGCUGCCCUGAGCAGCGGGCUUGGAGCUGGAGACGACUAUCCAUUGUGAAAGGAGCCAAUCCAGGCUGCUUUGCAAACAGGUGUCAUCCCCUGGCAGCUUCUGGUUAGGGACAGGUUAGGCGUCAUGCCACGUUUCCAUGGAAUGAUUCUAGCAGCUCCCGAGAUGCAUGAUGUAUGAUUUCUGUGCAGAAGCAACCUCUGAUUUAUUAGAGUAUAGGUUGGGAAACUGGCCACCUGUACUCUCGUCUUUAUCUUCUUUUCCAGAUGUGUUUUGUAUUCCUGCUCUAACAGAUCAGGCUACAAUUCUGUGAAUACUCACUCCUGUAAUUACAUACCAUGUCUACACUGAGCUGUUCCUCUGGAAACCUGAAAGUACUUUGCAGUCCUUAAGUGACAAAAUUGCUUCAAAAUACACUCAGAAAGCCGAGGUUCUAGUCAGUAAACAAGAACUCACUGAAUUCUUUCCAGGAAAGUGAGUUGUUUUUCUUGGGUUUUACCUGCAUAUUCAUAUAGAACAUUUUAAUUUUUACUCUCCGAGGUGGGAAGUUAAAUGGUCACAGAAGUGUGAAGUUGGUCCAGCUAAGGCCAAGAUGGGAGCAAAGUUUGGUCAGCUUAAUUUUUGGCUACUCCUCAGUUUAGUUCAAACCACAUUCAUCACUGGUGCAUUCAGUUGCAUAACUCAUUCUUCUGAAGAAUGUUUGUCUCUCCCAUGCCACACAAGUCGAGCUGGCCUGACUUUCCCAGAACUGAGGGUGCUAGGAGGUAACACGGGCAGAGCCAAGGUCUAGGGUAACACGCGCCUGCCAGGAAACGUGCCUUAGAAGAGAGAGUCUCAGAAGCCUUCUUCUGAAAAUGUAAGCUGAUACUAUUUUAUUGAAUAUGUACACGAGAGAAAAGGAUACGCUUCAGACUUAGAGUCUCCUACAGAAAAAUGUGAGUUUCUGUCUUAAACAAAAUUGGUUAAUGUGCCCCUAAUACCAUGAAAAGAAAUCUUUGGAAUCCUGAAGCCUGUGAUGAGCAAAUGCAGAAAUUCCACACGCCGUGGACACUGAGGGCAGCCAGGAGGGAAGAUUUCCCAUCUCAUCGGAGGCUCCUGUCUCCAGUUUACUCAAUGGCACCGAGCUGUCGCUCCGUUUGCACAGUCAGCUUAUAAUGGGAAGUCCCAGUUCAGUGAGCCAUUUGGCACUGGAGCAGGUAGAGACUCCUGGAUGAAAAAGAACUAUAGUGUUUCAGCUCUCGUUGCUGUGAUAAAUGCCUGAGAUAAAUGACUUGCAAAGCCAGAGGGCUGAUGUUGGCUCACGGUUCAGAGGACUCAGUUCGCAGCCAGUGGGUUCCACAACUCUCAGCCUGUGAUGAGACACAGCACGGGGAAGCAGAUCCGCUCGUAUCAUGGCAAGGAUAUGAAACAGAGAAGGAGGAAAAAAGUAAGGUUCCACAGCGUCCUCACUCCUCCUCUGGGGCCUCUUUCUGAGGUCUACACCGCCUCCCAGUACUGCCAGGGGUUGGGGACCAAUUCUUCAGCAGUCGUCCCAAAUUCACACCACAGUCCUUCUCCUGUUUACUGUCUAGCUGGUUUUCUUUAAAUAUUUACAUGAUGCGAAGAGUUUCAACUCAGCUUAGAAUAUAUAAAUGGAUGCAUGCUAAAAAUUUUUUUUGUCACUUAAAAUCUGUUGCCCUAGUUUUAAAUAUGUUCCAAAUGAAGCCAACUGUGAAGAGGACAUGAAAAUCUCUCCUAUAGGGUGAAACAAAAUGUAAUUUCUUUCUUGAUUAGAUUUGCUCAGAGUUAGGGUCAGACAGCCUGUCGAAUAUGGAAAAUCUUAAAAAUCAGAGCUGUCAAAAUAUGUUAUCACUGUGAGGUAUACCCCUAGUGUUGUAUGAAACAAUAGUGUGUUUAUCCUCACUCAACUGUGUAAAUACACUACAACUUAUCCAUUCUACUAUUGAUGGAUUCUGGGCUUUUCCAGCCCGGAUCUGUUAAGAAGAAUACUACCAAUAACAGGCUUAAACUUUCCCUUUACGGGACAUAUGUACACAUUUAGGUUUGAUGUAUGCUUAGGACAGAGCGCAGCCCCUGGAUUUUAGGGUUUACAUUCACCUUCAGUAGAUUACACCAAACAGAUGUCCAAAAAUGUCUGCAGCAACAUAAUCCCUACAAAAGCUACAUGAAAAUAAUAAAAGUCAAGUAUAGAAGUAUCUGAAUUGGAUGAUUUCAUUUUACAGAAAAUUUAAAACCAGCUAAAAUUCACCGACCAUGAUGAAACUCCAAAUAGUGGUCAUGGGAGGUCAUGACUGAAAAAUGGCCUUGGGGGAAUUCUAAGAUGUUGUUGAUCUAUUUCUUAGUAGUUUUGGGGGAAUCACGUAUUAAACAUCUGUUAGUAUGUAAGCUCA